AACGCUAGCUACAGGCUUAACACAUGCAAGUCGAGGGGCAGCGCAGUGUAGCAAUACAUGGGCGGCGACCGGCGCACGGGUGCGUAACGCGUAUCCAACCUUCCCGUUACUCAGGGAUAGCCUUCCGAAAGGGAGAUUAAUACCUGAUGGUGUUCAAAUUCCGCAUGUUAUUUGAACUAAAGAUUUAUCGGUAACGGAUGGGGAUGCGUGACAUUAGAUAGUAGGCGGGGUAACGGCCCACCUAGUCAACGAUGGAUAGGGGUUCUGAGAGGAAGGUCCCCCACAUUGGAACUGAGACACGGUCCAAACUCCUACGGGAGGCAGCAGUGAGGAAUAUUGGUCAAUGGGCGAUGGCCUGAACCAGCCAAGUAGCGUGAAGGAUGACUGCCCUAUGGGUUGUAAACUUCUUUUAUAAAGGAAUAAAGUCGGGUAUGCAUACCCGUUUGCAUGUACUUUAUGAAUAAGGAUCGGCUAACUCCGUGCCAGCAGCCGCGGUAAUACGGAGGAUCCGAGCGUUAUCCGGAUUUAUUGGGUUUAAAGGGAGCGUAGAUGGAUGUUUAAGUCAGUUGUGAAAGUUUGCGGCUCAACCGUAAAAUUGCAGUUGAUACUGGAUGUCUUGAGUGCAGUUGAGGCAGGCGGAAUUCGUGGUGUAGCGGUGAAAUGCUUAGAUAUCACGAAGAACUCCGAUUG
RNAcentral lists this ribosomal RNA (690 nucleotides) under uncultured bacterium. RNAcentral's name for it is "bacterial SSU rRNA". It matches the Rfam family "Bacterial small subunit ribosomal RNA", at positions 32 to 715 of the family's 1533-position model. The record is from RNAcentral.